ACACAUAAUGUAAUAAUUACCACAGUCAAAUUAAUAUAUCACUACUCAGAGUUACGUGUGUGUGUGUGCGUGUGAGUGUGUGUAUUUGUUUCUGUGUGUUUGUGUGUGUGUGCAUAGAAGGACAGGGCAGGCUAAGUUAUGCUGUCCUGUGUUCAGAGAGGAGUAAUAAAUAAAUCCAGAGAAAGCUAACUUGUGAGAAGCAAAAGCAGA
RNAcentral lists this long non-coding RNA (210 nucleotides) under Homo sapiens (human). RNAcentral describes it as "non-protein coding lnc-TLE4-10:1". The record is from RNAcentral. Lineage: Eukaryota; Metazoa; Chordata; Mammalia; Primates; Hominidae.